RNAcentral lists this ribosomal RNA (1454 nucleotides) under metagenome. Its description in RNAcentral is "bacterial SSU rRNA". It matches the Rfam family "Bacterial small subunit ribosomal RNA". The record is from RNAcentral.
AGAGUUUGAUCAUGGCUCAGGGUGAACGCUGGCGGCGUGCCUAACACAUGCAAGUCGAGCGAUUCUCUUCGGAGAAGAGCGGCGGACGGGUGAGUAACGCGUGGGUAACCUGCCCUGUACACACGGAUAACAUACCGAAAGGUAUGCUAAUACGAGAUAAUAUGCUUUUAUCGCAUGGUAGAAGUAUCAAAGCUUUUGCGGUACAGGAUGGACCCGCGUCUGAUUAGCUAGUUGGUAAGGUAACGGCUUACCAAGGCGACGAUCAGUAGCCGACCUGAGAGGGUGAUCGGCCACAUUGGAACUGAGACACGGUCCAAACUCCUACGGGAGGCAGCAGUGGGGAAUAUUGCACAAUGGGCGAAAGCCUGAUGCAGCAACGCCGCGUGAGCGAUGAAGGCCUUCGGGUCGUAAAGCUCUGUCCUCAAGGAAGAUAAUGACGGUACUUGAGGAGGAAGCCCCGGCUAACUACGUGCCAGCAGCCGCGGUAAUACGUAGGGGGCUAGCGUUAUCCGGAAUUACUGGGCGUAAAGGGUGCGUAGGUGGUUUCUUAAGUCAGAGGUGAAAGGCUACGGCUCAACCGUAGUAAGCCUUUGAAACUGGGAAACUUGAGUGCAGGAGAGGAGAGUGGAAUUCCUAGUGUAGCGGUGAAAUGCGUAGAUAUUAGGAGGAACACCAGUUGCGAAGGCGGCUCUCUGGACUGUAACUGACACUGAGGCACGAAAGCGUGGGGAGCAAACAGGAUUAGAUACCCUGGUAGUCCACGCCGUAAACGAUGAUUACUAGGUGUUGGAGGAUUGACCCCUUCAGUGCCGCAGUUAACACAAUAAGUAAUCCACCUGGGGAGUACGACCGCAAGGUUGAAACUCAAAGGAAUUGACGGGGGCCCGCACAAGCAGUGGAGUAUGUGGUUUAAUUCGACGCAACGCGAAGAACCUUACCAAGUCUUGACAUCCUGCGACGAUGCUGGAAACAGUAUUUUCCUUCGGGACGCAGAGACAGGUGGUGCAUGGUUGUCGUCAGCUCGUGUCGUGAGAUGUUGGGUUAAGUCCCGCAACGAGCGCAACCCUUACUGUCAGUUACUACGCAAGAGGACUCUGGCAGGACUGCCGUUGACAAAACGGAGGAAGGUGGGGAUGACGUCAAAUCAUCAUGCCCUUUAUGACUUGGGCUACACACGUACUACAAUGGCGUUAAACAAAGAGAAGCAAGACCGCGAGGUGGAGCAAAACUCAGAAACAACGUCCCAGUUCGGACUGCAGGCUGCAACUCGCCUGCACGAAGUCGGAAUUGCUAGUAAUCGUGGAUCAGCAUGCCACGGUGAAUACGUUCCCGGGCCUUGUACACACCGCCCGUCACACCAUGAGAGCCGGGGGGACCCGAAGUCGGUAGUCUAACCGCAAGGAGGACGCCGCCGAAGGUAAAACUGGUGAUUGGGGUGAAGUCGUAACAAGGUA